RNAcentral lists this ribosomal RNA (532 nucleotides) under uncultured bacterium. RNAcentral describes it as "bacterial SSU rRNA". It matches the Rfam family "Bacterial small subunit ribosomal RNA", at positions 56 to 632 of the family's 1533-position model. The record is from RNAcentral.
UGCAAGUCGAGCGGUCGUAGCAAUACGGCAGCGGCAGACGGGAGAGUAACACGUGGGAACGUGCCCUUUGGUUCGGAACAACACAGGGAAACUUGUGCUAAUACCGGAUAAGCCCUUACGGGGAAAGAUUUAUCGCCAAAGGAUUGGCCCGCGUCUGAUUAGCUAGUUGGUGGGGUAACGGCCCACCAAGGCGACGAUCAGUAGCUGGUCUGAGAGGAUGAUCAGCCUCACUGGGACUGAGACACGGCCCAGACUCCUACGGGAGGCAGCAGUGGGGAAUAUUGGACAAUGGGCGCAAGCCUGAUCCAGCCAUGCCGCGUGGAUGAUGAAGGCCCUAGGGUUGUAAAGUCCCUUCGGCGGGGAAGAUAAUGACGGUACCCGCAGAAGAAGCCCCGGCUAACUUCGUGCCAGCAGCCGCGGUAAUACGAAGGGGGCUAGCGUUGCUCGGAAUCACUGGGCGUAAAGCGCACGUAGGCGGCUUUCUAAGUCAGGGGUGAAAUCCUGGAGCUCAACUCCAGAACUGCCUUUGAUA